Lolium perenne is the source of this 3943-nucleotide non-coding RNA. The record is from RefSeq and is a predicted model, not a curated record. NCBI's taxonomy places the organism in Eukaryota, Viridiplantae, Streptophyta, Magnoliopsida, Poales, Poaceae.
ACCAGCAAAAAUACGGCCGUCCGCCGGGUUCAGUCUGCCUCUUCCAAGCUCGCUCCCCAUUCAUCGCGAGAGGUGCCAAAUCGAGCUCCACCGCCUCCGCCUUUGUUGCCGCCGGGCGCCGGGUUCAGUCUGCCUCUUCCAAGCCCGCCCCCAUUCAACGCGGGAGGUGCCAAAUCGAGCUCCACCACCUCGGACUUUGGCGCCGACGGCGGCAAGGAGCGGCACACAGGGAGGCAGCGCAGCGAGGCACUACCCCAGUGCUCCAUCGUCGAGGCAACGACCAGCGGCCGCUGGUCGUGCUGCCAUUCACCCCGAAGUUGUUCUGUUCCUACUGCGGCUGCCGCAUCGACAAGGGGCUCCACCACGCGGACGUCGUUUACGGCAGUGGGUCAGGUGGUGAUUGGCCUCACCCUCCCACCUCUGGUUGCAGCGCAGCAGCCUCUUUGGCGUGUGUCACGUCCGUCGGCAGAGCUAGCUCCUCCGAAUCAUGGUUAGCUUUGUCUCGCCCUCCCCCUACUGGUGGCGACCUCUUAGGAGUUCAGAUGUGCACUUCAAGUGUUUGUUGGAAUGCCUGAAGAGAGAUUGCGUAUAAUAAAUCAGCGAGCAAUACCCAAAUACAAGCCAAUGGGCAUGUUGAUAGCCAUGUGUACUGGGAUCCUUUCGCAUGCGUAUUUCGUACUCCCUCCAUCACCUUCCUCAUUAUCCAAUCUGCCGGUACACCUCCAACAUUCUUCUUUGCUGCUUGUGGGUGUGCUACCUCUGGGAACUGGUUUCACUUGUGAUUUUUGCAUUUUCCAUGUCCAGAUAUAUAGUUUUGAGUUAGCAAAUUUAUAAUCUGCCUGAUUUUUUUAUGUGCUCUGAUUUUUGUAUGAGUGCAUGGAAGAACAAUCAUGUUUACUUUACUGUGAGUAAUCCUUGUUUAUAAAAAGCUGAUUCUUAUUUGACAUUUUAUCUCCCGUCUUGCAGUCUCACUAUUUUAGCCAACAAAUUUAUCAUGUAACUUUGGUAUCCUUUGCUACAAUUCAGGUCUAGAACAGAUUGCGCCUCCCAUUUCCAUAGGAUCGUUGUAAAUAGAUACGAUUGGAGGAUAAUAUGUAGAUGGAAAUGGCUCCAACAUCAUAGGUAUACAUGAAUAUAUUCAACCCUGCCCCUUUUUCCUUUCAGCAGGUUCUCAAGUGAAUUGCUUGUGGUGCUAACAUUGUACAAAUCUUUAGUUUUCAAACAUUCUUAUUUGGGUAGAACAAGUAGUAUAUUUCUUUUGCUUUUCUGUUAAUGUUACUAUGAAUUCAUUUUAGCUGGCGUUUGUCUCGCGAUUCAUUUCCUUUACGUGCCUUAGUGCCUUCGAAGAAUUUAUCUUUCGCUUGCUCGCAAAAAAAGGUUAUCUAUUAUGUAGUCUUGGACUAAAUACAUCAAUUUUCUCCAGUUGUGCAAAUGAAUAUAUGACUGAUUCAUACUGAAGACAAAACAUUUUAGAAACGUGUAGUAACACUUGGGUUCUAUCUAUUUCUUAGAUGCGUUUUCUUUCUUGCAUCACGUCCCAAAGAUAGCAGUUCGCGAAAAUCUUAGAUUGCGUGAACCAGCGUCAUUUUAUCAUGGAAAAUAAACAAAAAAAUUAUAAACUACCAGUGUGCUAGAGGAAGGAGGGAAGAGCAAUUGUCACGUUUUUUUUACCACUGUGCUCGAAUAACGUCUGACGAACCAGUGUUCUUGCAGGCCAUCAGAAACUUACUAGCUUGCAAAUCGGGUGCUUAUCAUUUUUUAGGGGAUUGAAUAUUCAUUGGGCUAGAGGGGAGGGAAUGCUUGAGAAUCUUGUGAUCUUGCAGUAUUGAAAUUUCUUGCUCUUUUUUUGCUGGUUUGAUCAGAACACGCAUUACGGUAGAAUGGAGAUUGAUUUGAGCAAAUUCCACUUGGUUCUGCUUGAGCCCCCACAAUGUUGGGAUGAUGUGUUGUAUUGGAAUAUGGUAUUCGUGUGUAUGGAAAUGCGCUUCCAUUUGGUACUGCUUAAUCCCCCACAAUUUGGGAUGAUAUGUUGUAUGGAAUAUGCUGGGUUUUAAUAAAAGGCUGUGUGCAUCAUCACGAUGCAGAAGCCGGGUUUAUCCCUUUUCAAAAAAAAAUGUUGUACUGGAAUAUGUUGUUCGUGUGUAUGGAAAUGCGGCAGCUUCAAGCAUCUGUAAUUGCUCUCGCUUGAACUGGUGUAGAAUGUUAGGCAAAUUUAAGUGAAAAUAAUUGUCAUUAAGUACAUAUGUUUUUGUUUUGCCAUUCUGUUUUUGUGAAUAUUUACUUUUAAUUUGUAAGCACAAGAAAACUAAGUUUCGUCAUAAAGCAAUACUGGAUACACUACACUCCUUAACCAACUUUGGUCAGCAGCAGAUUGUGUGGUGUAUGUUAUGUUUUCUGUCAUUUGGGGGUUCAUUUCCUCCUUUCAUGUGUUAUUUGUUUUCUUACCCAGUUGUAGGUCUGGUGGCGUUGUGGUUGUUGGUGAUGGAAUGAUUCCAGGCCGCUUGAGGUUCUUGCCCUCAUGUCUACAACAUCAUCUUCUGUGUUGUCGUUGCCUACGUCUCCUACUAGGUUAAUACUCUUACAAGAUGAGUUUCUAGCUCCACUUUGUUGAAAAGGUAAGAUGCAUAUUCACUCAUCCAUAGGUCCAAUGAAUAAAUCAUUGAACUGUGUGGCUUCAGUUUUCAUUUUUGUGUGAAAUAAAAACAACUAUGUCAUUGGAUCAUUUUUUUUUCUUACGUGACCGCUCUUUGGUUAUUUCGCGGUCAUAUUGUUGGUUUAUUCUAGAAAAUUUGUGUUCUAGAUCAUUGAUCUGUUGGGUCUUAGUGAGUUGCCACACCAUUGGUGUUCUAAGUUAGAUUUUUGCUCCAGUAUAGUGCUUGCAUUGUUGUCUCCUAGAAGUAUAAACGGCAGACAAAACAGAGGUCCUGCUAAAAUGAUGCUCCCUCCGUUUCAUAUUAUAAGAUGUUAUUAUAGGACGGAGGGAGUAGAAUAGAAGGUUUAUUGAUGAUGUAAGCACUUGAUUACUUUUUUGAAGCUUUGUUCGAAUGUUGAGAUGGAUGGUUAGUGCUGACAACAAUAGCUUAGAACUUUUUGUACCGCCUAUAUGUUUCAGCAUGGUCAAAUAGUUCAUUUUGUCUGAAAUGAUUCCAUCAUCAUCCCUCACGAUGAGUUAAGAUACCAUUUUAAUUUUGAUGAUUCUCUUGACGAUUAAGUUUUGUGUAGAAAAUGCAAAGAUUGGACAUUUUUGUUUAUCUACAUGGCUAGACCUACUGCUAUAUACUAGCUUAUGUUAAUAUUUGAGGCCACAAUGACUGCAUUUCCUGUUGCGGGAGUUAACUUAUGUGAAAUUAAUCUCAGAUGUUUCUUGACAUGUGUUUUGACCAUAUGCAACAUUGCUUAGCGCUUUUACAAAUUAUAUUUUUCUUGUGCUUAGUAUCUGUCCAUGUUUAAGUCAUCUAUCUAUUGCUAUGUAUUUGUACUAAACUACUAAGUUCAAUGUUGUUCAAGGAAUUUAAAUAUCUGAUGAGCUUUACAGGCUUCAAGUCCUUGCAUUUUGCUAUUGGUUUUUCCACUGCUCAACGGGUUGUUUUCUGGUUCGCCGUGUGAUUCAUGCACUGUUGACAGUAAUGUCUAUGUGAAAAGGGCGCAACUGACAUUGCUGGUCUGAGGCAUGCAUGCCAUAGCCAUUAGGAUGAUAACAUGGAUACUUUUGCGAUAUUCAGUUAAGCCUGCUUUUCUGGGAUUUAAAAGCUCUAUGUUAUUCUAGAUUAUGCAUUGGUUUAUUUUGUAGCUUCUUCUUUGUAGCUUCUAGAGUCUUCUGGUGUUCCCUAUGAUAGACUUGACAGUAGUUUCAUUGGUUUAUUUUGUAGGCAUGGUUUGUAAGCAGUGAAAGAGCCCCGCGAAAGAAUAUUAACUCAAAAGAAUUUUUUUUGAGAAUUUACAG